This 712-nucleotide ribosomal RNA is filed under the name uncultured Ceratobasidiaceae. RNAcentral describes it as "eukaryotic LSU rRNA". The stretch from base 258 to 411 matches the Rfam family "5.8S ribosomal RNA". The record is from RNAcentral. Lineage: Eukaryota; Fungi; Basidiomycota; Agaricomycetes; Cantharellales; Ceratobasidiaceae.
UUAGAGGAAGUAAAAGUCGUAACAAGGUUUCCGUAGGUGAACCUGCGGAAGGAUCAUUAUUGAAUGAACAUAGAGUCGGUUGUAGCUGGCCCCUUUUAACCGGGGGGCAUGUGCACGCCUUCUCUUUUCAUCCAUACACACACCUGUGAACUUGUGAGACGGAUUUCGACCCUCUCCGGGGGGGAAAGGUCCGUCUGCUAUACAUAAACUCCUGAAUAAUAAAUUAGAAUGUAAUCGAUGUAACGCAUCUUUAAACUAAGUUUCAACAACGGAUCUCUUGGCUCUCGCAUCGAUGAAGAACGCAGCGAAAUGCGAUAAGUAAUGUGAAUUGCAGAAUUCAGUGAAUCAUCGAAUCUUUGAACGCACCUUGCGCUCCUUGGUAUUCCUCGGAGCAUGCCUGUUUGAGUAUCAUGAAAUCUUCAAAAUAAAUCUUUUGUUCACUCGAUUGAUUUUAUUUUGGACUUGGAGGCUUGCAGAUUCACGUCUGCUCCUCUUAAAUUUAUUAGCUGGAUCUCGGUGAGCUCGGUUCCACUCGGCGUGAUAAGUAUCACUCGCUGAGGACACUGUAAAAGGUGGCCGGGAUUGCGGAUGAACCGCUUCUAAUAGUCCAUUGACUUGGACAAUAAAUACUUUAUGAUCUGAUCUCAAAUCAGGUAGGACUACCCGCUGAACUUAAGCAUAUCAAUAAGCGGAGGAAAAGAAACUAACAAGG